UGUUACUGUGUGAUGGUGUUACUGUGUGGUGGUGUUACUGUGUGGUGGUGUUACUGUGUGGUGGUGUUACUGUGUGUUACAUUUACAUUUACAUUUCUGGUAUUUGGCAGACGCUCUUAUCCAGAGCAUACAAAAGUGCUUUAAGUCUCUAUCAUUGAAAACAUUAACACUGGUUCAAUAGAUUAUAGACUGAGGAUACCAUUAGCCUAAAAUUGGAUGGGUUUUUUUAACAUAUAACAUAAACAGGGAAAGAUAAGAGCUAGUUUAAUUGCUUCAGGAAAAGGUAGGUCUUAAGACAUCGUUUGAUCGGCUGUACGGACAUCUAGGGGAAAAUUUCCAUUUUAGUCCUGCUUGAUCUUAGUGCUGCAUUCGACACUAUAGAUCAUAAUAUUCUCAUAGAUCGCUUACAAAAUCACACAGGUAUGCAGGGACAGGAAUUAAAAUGGUUUAGAUCCUACCGGUCUGAUCCAUACCACUUUGUAGAUUUAAAUGGAGAACUGUCCAGUGUAGUGCCAGUGAAAUACGGGGUCCCACAAGGGUCAGUUUUAGGACCUCUGCUUUUCUCAGUAUACAUGCUUCCAUUGGGUGACAUCAUUAGAAGGCAUGGGAUUAGUUUCCAUUGUUAUGUUGAUGAUACCCAGUUAUAUAUCUCAUCAAAACCAGAUGAAAUAUCUAAUUUGUCUAGACUAACUGAGUGUGUUAAAGGUAUUAGAGAUUGGAUGACCGAUAUAAUUUUCUAUUACUAAAUUCUGAUAAGACAGAGAUAUUACUUAUUGGUCCAAAAACCAGUACACAGAAGCUCUCGCAAUUCAGCUUGCAUCUAGAAGGAUGCACUGUUACUACUAGCUGGACAGUGACAGACCUGGGUGUAAUAUUAGACAGCAACUUAUCCUUUGAAAAUCAUAUUUCCAAUAUCACAAAAACAGCCUUCUUCCAUCUUAGAAUAUCACCAAGCUUAGGAACAUUUUAUCUGUAUCUGAUGCAGAAAAACUAGUUCAUGCAUUCCUGACCUCCAGACUGGACUACUGUAAUGCAUUACUAGGUGUUUGUCCUGCAUCUUCAAUAAACAAGCUACAGUUAGUCCAGAAUGCAGUCGCUAGAGUUCUUACCAGAUCAAGAAAAUAUGAUUAUAUAACCCCAUUAUCAUCAUCCCUGCACUGGCUACCUGUUAAGUUUAGAAUUGACUAUAAAUUAGCACUAAUUACGUACAAGUCUCUAAUUGGUUUAGCUCCCACCUAUCUCUCCAGUCUUCUAACACGUUACAAUCCACCACGCUCUUUAAGAUCACAAAAUUCCGGACUUCUAGUAGUUCCCAGAAUAUCAAAGUCCACAGAAGGGGGUAGAGCGUUUUCGUAUUUAGCUCCAAAACUUUAGAAUAGUCUUCCUGACAGUGUUCGAGGCUCAGACACAGUCUCCCAGUUUAAAUGUAGACUAAAGAGUAAAAUCUCUUCAGCCUGACAUACAUCUAACACAUCCCAUAACCUUGUGCCCAAGUACAUCUGAUUAAAUGCACAUUCAUCUAGUACUGCUAAUAUUAUGAACAGCAGCUACGCUAAUGCUGUUCCAUUGUUUCCCUUCUUCUACCCAUCCCGAGGCAUACAGAGACUGUGCUCCAGUGGCAUCCGGAGAUGGACCAGCUCCAGCCGGGUUCUGCUUGUGAGGAUUGGGAUAUUCAAGCAGCGCCAUGGACAACAACCUCCUUAUUGAUUUACAUAACACUAUACACAUGCUGUAUCUGCAUCACACAAUUGUCACCCAAAUGAGGAUGGGUUCGCUUUUGAGUCUGGUUCCUCUCAAGGUUUCUUCCUCAUACCAUCUAAGGGAGUUUUUCCUUGCCACAGUCGCCUCAGUCACCUCAGGCUUGCUCACUUGGGAUAACAUCUAGGACUGUCUGUCUGUCUGUCUGUUUAUAUGUUUGUUGUUUUCUUAUGUCGUUUCUCAUGUAAAGCUGCUUUGAGACAAUGCUCUUUGUUAAAAGCGCUAUAUAAAAAAAAGUUCAUUCCACCACCUCAGUGCCAGAACAGAGAAGAGUCUAGAUGAAUACCUACCUUUUACCCUGAGAGAUGGUGGGACCAGUCGGGCAGUGCUAGUGGAUCGGAGGGAGCGAGGUGCAGUGCGAGGAGUAAUAAGAUCUUUGAGCUGGGUGAGGACCAUGCUGUGAUGUGAAGAUGAGCCUCAGGGGGAGAUGGAGGUCAGUGUCCUGUCAGUGUCCUGUCAGUUAAUACAGUGGAGAAAAACACAAAGCUGCUACAGCUGAACAUCCAGAACCUGAGCUCCAGCCAUGAGGAACUUUUCUUCAGGAGAGAACGCUACAGAGCCUGGACCCUCAGACAGCUGGAGGUCAGUACACCUUCUCCCAGCAGUUCCUGAAACCAAACAUCGGUCAGUAGCAAGUCCAAAAGGAAGGGAGUAGAGUAAGUAAAGUAAAGUAAAGUAGAGUAUCUGACCUGUAGAAAGAGCAGAAAGACUGACCAUUACCCUGCUGCUGCUCCACAGACUGGACCCAGGGUUCGAACAGCAGACUCAGAGGACAGCAGGGGUCACUGUAUCCCACUGUAAGACUCAUAAACUGUACCCAUGUGAUAGAAUCACCAGAACCUUAUCAGGAACAUGAGGAACAUUCACAGUCUGAAACAGAGCACAUGAAAAAAUGUGACUCUGUCCUGCAGACCGGACCGCGGUAUCGGACCUGAGAUGACCCACAGGAGGAAAUCAGCUUCACUGGAACUGUGCUGCCAUUCCCAUGAAUGUGAACAGGACACAGACGGCUGGCCCUAGCUCCCUGACCCUGGCUCCAGGUCAGCAUUGUACAGCACUGUACAGCGGGACACUCCACAGACCUGCUGACGUGGAGAUCUUCUGAUUCAGUCGUCUAGACAUCAGCAUGUGGAUCUUCACCGAGUCACUCAGGUUCUUACAGCGGUCCAUUUCUCCUGCGAACUGACCAUUCACUUGAAGAUUAAUGUUCUCACAGCUCCUGACAGGUUCUUCACUGUUCUUCACCUCUCAGGUGUGUGUAUCUGCAGUAGAUCUACCUCCGCAGGUGUAUGAUUCCCCACACAUGUCCUCAUCUCAACCACAUUCACGCUUAUUUAUUUUAUUUUUUACUACAGUGAUUUUCUGUGGUGUGUUUGUGUGUGAAACAGCCUUUAUUUGUCACAUAUACAUUACAGCACAGUGAAAUUCUUUCUUCACAUAUCCCAUCCUUGGAGGUUGGGGUCAGAGCGCAGGGUCAGCCAUGAUACGGCGCCCCUGGAGCACAGAGGGUUAAGGGCCUUGCUCAAGGGCCCAACAGUGGCAACUUGGCGGUGCUGGGGCUUGAACCCCUGAUCUUCCGGUCAACGACCCAGAGCCUUAACCACUUGAGCCACCACUGCCCGAUAAUGUGUGUUUGUGCAUAUGUGUGUGUGUGUGUUUGUGCAUGUGUGUGUGUGUGUGUGUGUGUGUCCAUGUGUGUGUUUGUGCAUGUGUGUGUGUGUGUGUGUUUGUGUGUUUGUGCAUGUGUGUUUGUGCAUGUGUGUGAGUGUGUGUGUUUGUGCGUGUGUGUUUGUGCAUGUGUGUGUGUGUUUGUGCAUGUGUGUGUUUGUGUGUUUGUGCGUGUGUGUGUGUGUGUGCAUGUGUGUGAGUGUAUGUGUGUUUGUGCAUGUGUGUGUGUGUGUUUGUGCAUGUGUGUGUUUGUGCAUGUGUGUGUUUGUGCGUGUGUGUGUGUGUGUGUGUGUGUGUUUGUGUGUUUGUGCAUGUGUGUGUGUGUUUGUGCAUGUGUGUGUGUGUGUGUGUGUUUGUGCAUGUGUGUGUGUGUUUGUGUGUUUGUGCGUGUGUGUGUGUUUGUGCAUGUGUGUGUUUGUGCAUGUGUGUGUGUGCGUGAGUGUGUGUGUGUUUGUGCAUGUGUGUGAGUGUGUGUGUGUUUGUGCGUGUGUGUUUGUGCAUGUGUGUGUUUGUGCAUGUGUGUGUUUGUGCAUGUGUGAGUGUGUGUGUUUGUGCGUGUGUGUGUUUGUGCAUGUGUGUGAGUGUGUGCGUGUGUGUUUGUGUGUGUGUGUUUGUGUGUGUUUGUGCAUGUGUGUGUGUGUGUGUGUGUGUGUGUGUUUGUGCAUGUGUGUGAGUGUGUGUGUGAGUGUGCAUGUGUGUGUGUGUGUGUUUGUGCAUGUGUGUGUGUAACCCUCUCUUCCUCUCAUUCUUGUUAAACCACUGAUUAAAGGUAGCUGUAGUAAA
Long non-coding RNA from Hemibagrus wyckioides, 4209 nucleotides. RefSeq lists it as uncharacterized. Lineage: Eukaryota; Metazoa; Chordata; Actinopteri; Siluriformes; Bagridae. The record is from RefSeq and is a predicted model, not a curated record. The transcript has 3 exons.